This 896-nucleotide ribosomal RNA is filed under the name Streptomyces sp. C2R10_pA. Its description in RNAcentral is "bacterial SSU rRNA". It matches the Rfam family "Bacterial small subunit ribosomal RNA", at positions 8 to 916 of the family's 1533-position model. The record is from RNAcentral. Lineage: Bacteria; Bacillati; Actinomycetota; Actinomycetes; Kitasatosporales; Streptomycetaceae.
AGAGUUUGAUCCUGGCUCAGGAUGAACGCUGGCGGCGUGCUUAACACAUGCAAGUCGAACGAUGAACCUCCUUCGGGAGGGGAUUAGUGGCGAACGGGUGAGUAACACGUGGGCAAUCUGCCCUUCACUCUGGGACAAGCCCUGGAAACGGGGUCUAAUACCGGAUACGACCACCGACCGCAUGGUCUGGUGGUGGAAAGCUCCGGCGGUGAAGGAUGAGCCCGCGGCCUAUCAGCUUGUUGGUGGGGUGAUGGCCUACCAAGGCGACGACGGGUAGCCGGCCUGAGAGGGCGACCGGCCACACUGGGACUGAGACACGGCCCAGACUCCUACGGGAGGCAGCAGUGGGGAAUAUUGCACAAUGGGCGAAAGCCUGAUGCAGCGACGCCGCGUGAGGGAUGACGGCCUUCGGGUUGUAAACCUCUUUCAGCAGGGAAGAAGCGAGAGUGACGGUACCUGCAGAAGAAGCGCCGGCUAACUACGUGCCAGCAGCCGCGGUAAUACGUAGGGCGCAAGCGUUGUCCGGAAUUAUUGGGCGUAAAGAGCUCGUAGGCGGCUUGUCACGUCGGAUGUGAAAGCCCGGGGCUUAACCCCGGGUCUGCAUUCGAUACGGGCAGGCUAGAGUUCGGUAGGGGAGAUCGGAAUUCCUGGUGUAGCGGUGAAAUGCGCAGAUAUCAGGAGGAACACCGGUGGCGAAGGCGGAUCUCUGGGCCGAUACUGACGCUGAGGAGCGAAAGCGUGGGGAGCGAACAGGAUUAGAUACCCUGGUAGUCCACGCCGUAAACGUUGGGAACUAGGUGUUGGCGACAUUCCACGUCGUCGGUGCCGCAGCUAACGCAUUAAGUUCCCCGCCUGGGGAGUACGGCCGCAAGGCUAAAACUCAAAGGAAUUGACGG